This 1032-nucleotide long non-coding RNA is filed under the name Cricetulus griseus (Chinese hamster). RNAcentral's name for it is "lncRNA (ENSCGRG00015038126.1)". Lineage: Eukaryota; Metazoa; Chordata; Mammalia; Rodentia; Cricetidae. The record is from RNAcentral.
CAGGAAGCGCCCUUUUUCCCCUCUGCUCUUCUUCCAGCGGCGCAAUGUGAUCCACCGGCAAGGAGGGACGCCAAUAGGGCGUCUGAUAAGUUCCAGGCUGCCUGGCUGACUUAGCCUUGUCAUUGUGCCUUCCCACCAUGAUGGAUUGUGUCUUUUCUGGAACUCUGAGCCAAGGUAAACCCUCUCUCUGCCAAGUUGUUUUUUGUCCAGGUAUUUUAUCAUAGCAACAGGAAAAAACUAAUACAGUCCUGAAGGACACUGCCCCCCAAGUGGCCUCCUUUCUGCAGCUAAGCUCCACUUCCUACUUCCUCACCACCCACCAGUGUGACUCAUCCAUGCUUGCAAUGACUCAGCAGGCUACAGCUGAUCAGAUGCUCAAGCCACGCCCAGUGUCACUCUCUCUUCCUGCUGCCUGCCGAUUCGGAUGUAGAAAUCUCCAUCCUUCUCUAGCACCACGUCUGCCUGCAAGCACCAUACUUCCUGCCAUGGUGAUGAUGAUGGACUAAACCUCUGAACAUGUAAUCACAAAAGACUGAGAUUGGAGCCCAGCUACAUGGAAAAGACACGGUUACUGUAGGAGAAACUGCGGCCAGCCUACCCGCGCUUCAGGUGCCCAGGCCAGGUGCCCAGGCCAGCUCUCAUGAACAUUUGAGGCAGGCACUUCCUCCCUGAGACAAGCCUGCCUCUUAAGCCCAGAGACUGCUGACGAAGAGACCCCUGACCAGAGACACCAAUGAGGAAUGGACAACACAGCGGAGUCAGCCGCCUGAGCCAAUAGGAUCUUGGGAAGGGGUAAAAGGCAGGACUAACUUCCUUGAUAAAUGAGUCUGCAGCACUCUCUGCUACUCACUGACUCCCAGUGCCUGAGUCUUUGGUGCUGCAUCUUCUCACCCCGCCUCCCGAAACAAGUUACCACCUGCAUUAGGAUAAAAAUCAAGAAAACUUCCUGUCCUGGUGUGCUUGCUCUCCUGCUUCCUGGAGGAGUUCACCCUCUUGACCGAGAAUAAAGUUUGCUUUGUUGAGAUGUUUCAA